Molecule: transfer RNA, 76 nt
Filed under: Staphylococcus felis
Lineage: Bacteria; Bacillati; Bacillota; Bacilli; Caryophanales; Staphylococcaceae
Description: tRNA-Ala
Source: RNAcentral
GGUGGCUUAGCUCAGCUGUGAUAUCGCCUGCUUUGCACGCAGGAGGUCAGCGGUUCGAUACCGCUAGACUCCACCA